Molecule: ribosomal RNA, 731 nt
Filed under: Streptomyces sp.
Lineage: Bacteria; Bacillati; Actinomycetota; Actinomycetes; Kitasatosporales; Streptomycetaceae
Description: bacterial SSU rRNA
Rfam family: Bacterial small subunit ribosomal RNA
Source: RNAcentral
CCUCCCCUCCCCGGGGGGUCGUCAUCGGCCUUCCCCCCCAGGCUUAUUUUUUUUUUUCUUCGGGGCAGCAGUGGGGAAUAUUGCACAAUGGGCGAAAGCCUGAUGCAGCGACGCCGCGUGAGGGAUGACGGCCUUCGGGUUGUAAACCUCUUUCAGCAGGGAAGAAGCGAAAGUGACGGUACCUGCAGAAGAAGCGCCGGCUAACUACGUGCCAGCAGCCGCGGUAAUACGUAGGGCGCAAGCGUUGUCCGGAAUUAUUGGGCGUAAAGAGCUCGUAGGCGGCUUGUCACGUCGAUUGUGAAAGCCCGAGGCUUAACCUCGGGUCUGCAGUCGAUACGGGCUAGCUAGAGUGUGGUAGGGGAGAUCGGAAUUCCUGGUGUAGCGGUGAAAUGCGCAGAUAUCAGGAGGAACACCGGUGGCGAAGGCGGAUCUCUGGGCCAUUACUGACGCUGAGGAGCGAAAGCGUGGGGAGCGAACAGGAUUAGAUACCCUGGUAGUCCACGCCGUAAACGGUGGGAACUAGGUGUUGGCGACAUUCCACGUCGUCGGUGCCGCAGCUAACGCAUUAAGUUCCCCGCCUGGGGAGUACGGCCGCAAGGCUAAAACUCAAAGGAAUUGACGGGGGCCCGCACAAGCGGCGGAGCAUGUGGCUUAAUUCGACGCAACGCGAAGAACCUUACCAAGGCUUGACAUACACCGGAAACGUCUGGAGACAGGCGCCCCCUUGUGGU